Molecule: non-coding RNA, 510 nt
Organism: Callorhinus ursinus (northern fur seal)
Lineage: Eukaryota; Metazoa; Chordata; Mammalia; Carnivora; Otariidae
Source: RefSeq, a predicted model, not a curated record
AUGGAGGUCUACAUCACGUCCUUUAGCUAUGAGGAGAGCGACCUGGAGCUGGGAUACACAGUAUUUAAGAUAGAAGUGCUAAUGAAUGGAAGAAAACAUUUUGUUGAAAAAAGGUACAGCGAAUUUCAUGCCUUGCACAAAAAGCUGAAGAAAUGUAUAAAAACUCCAGAAAUCCCUUCUAAACAUGUUAGGAACUGGGUCCCAAAAGUCUUGGAACAACGACAACAAGGUUUGGAAACAUAUUUACAGGCUGUCAUUUUGGAAAAUGAAGAGCUUCCCAAACUCUUCCUUGAUUUCCUAAAUGUGCGACACUUGCCCUCGCUACCAAAGGCAGAGAGUUGUGGAUCUUUUGAUGAGACGGAAUCUGAAGAAUCAAGCAAACUGUCCCACCAGCCGGUACAGCUGUUCCUCAGGGAUCCAUAUGUCUUGCCUGCAGCCGGUGAUUUUCCAAAUGUGGUUAUUGAAGGAGUCCUCCAUGGGAUAUUUUACCCCCAUGUGCAGCACAGGUAG